UACGUAGGCAGCGAGCGUUGUUCGGAGUUACUGGGCGUAAAGGGUGUGUAGGCGGUUUUCUAAGUUUGGUGUGAAAUCUCCCGGCUCAACCGGGAGGGUGCGCCGAAAACUGGGGGACUAGAGUACGGGAUGGGAGAGUAGAAUUCCUGGUGUAGCGGUGAAAUGCGUAGAUAUCAGGAGGAAUACCGGUGGUGUAGACGGCUCUCUGGACCGCCACUGACGCUGAGACGCGAAAGCGUGGGGAGCGAACAGG
RNAcentral lists this ribosomal RNA (253 nucleotides) under uncultured bacterium. Its description in RNAcentral is "partial 16S ribosomal RNA". It matches the Rfam family "Bacterial small subunit ribosomal RNA", at positions 524 to 776 of the family's 1533-position model. The record is from RNAcentral.